UUAAAUUGAAGAGUUUGAUCAUGGCUCAGAUUGAACGCUGGCGGCAGGCCUAACACAUGCAAGUCGAACGGUAGCACAGAGAGCUUGCUCUCGGGUGACGAGUGGCGGACGGGUGAGUAAUGUCUGGGAAACUGCCUGAUGGAGGGGGAUAACUACUGGAAACGGUGGCUAAUACCGCAUAACGUCGCAAGACCAAAGAGGGGGACCUUCGGGCCUCUUGCCAUCAGAUGUGCCCAGAUGGGAUUAGCUAGUUGGUGAGGUAACGGCUCACCAAGGCGACGAUCCCUAGCUGGUCUGAGAGGAUGACCAGCCACACUGGAACUGAGACACGGUCCAGACUCCUACGGGAGGCAGCAGUGGGGAAUAUUGCACAAUGGGCGCAAGCCUGAUGCAGCCAUGCCGCGUGUAUGAAGAAGGCCUUCGGGUUGUAAAGUACUUUCAGCGGGGAGGAAGGUGUUGUGGUUAAUAACCACAGCAAUUGACGUUACCCGCAGAAGAAGCACCGGCUAACUCCGUGCCAGCAGCCGCGGUAAUACGGAGGGUGCAAGCGUUAAUCGGAAUUACUGGGCGUAAAGCGCACGCAGGCGGUCUGUCAAGUCGGAUGUGAAAUCCCCGGGCUCAACCUGGGAACUGCAUUCGAAACUGGCAGGCUUGAGUCUUGUAGAGGGGGGUAGAAUUCCAGGUGUAGCGGUGAAAUGCGUAGAGAUCUGGAGGAAUACCGGUGGCGAAGGCGGCCCCCUGGACAAAGACUGACGCUCAGGUGCGAAAGCGUGGGGAGCAAACAGGAUUAGAUACCCUGGUAGUCCACGCCGUAAACGAUGUCUACUUGGAGGUUGUGCCCUUGAGGCGUGGCUUCCGGAGCUAACGCGUUAAGUAGACCGCCUGGGGAGUACGGCCGCAAGGUUAAAACUCAAAUGAAUUGACGGGGGCCCGCACAAGCGGUGGAGCAUGUGGUUUAAUUCGAUGCAACGCGAAGAACCUUACCUGGUCUUGACAUCCACGGAAGUUUUCAGAGAUGAGAAUGUGCCUUCGGGAACCGUGAGACAGGUGCUGCAUGGCUGUCGUCAGCUCGUGUUGUGAAAUGUUGGGUUAAGUCCCGCAACGAGCGCAACCCUUAUCCUUUGUUGCCAGCGGUUAGGCCGGGAACUCAAAGGAGACUGCCAGUGAUAAACUGGAGGAAGGUGGGGAUGACGUCAAGUCAUCAUGGCCCUUACGACCAGGGCUACACACGUGCUACAAUGGCGCAUACAAAGAGAAGCGACCUCGCGAGAGCAAGCGGACCUCAUAAAGUGCGUCGUAGUCCGGAUUGGAGUCUGCAACUCGACUCCAUGAAGUCGGAAUCGCUAGUAAUCGUGGAUCAGAAUGCCACGGUGAAUACGUUCCCGGGCCUUGUACACACCGCCCGUCACACCAUGGGAGUGGGUUGCAAAAGAAGUAGGUAGCUUAACCUUCGGGAGGGCGCUUACCACUUUGUGAUUCAUGACUGGGGUGAAGUCGUAACAAGGUAACCGUAGGGGAACCUGCGGUUGGAUCACCUCCUUACCUUAAAGAA
This 1552-nucleotide ribosomal RNA is filed under the name Salmonella enterica subsp. enterica serovar Fresno str. ST224. RNAcentral's name for it is "bacterial SSU rRNA". It matches the Rfam family "Bacterial small subunit ribosomal RNA". The record is from RNAcentral. Lineage: Bacteria; Pseudomonadati; Pseudomonadota; Gammaproteobacteria; Enterobacterales; Enterobacteriaceae.